GAUCUUUUAGUAUAUUUUUGUACAUUUGACUUCCAAUCAGAUAGUUUUAAAGGUUA
RNAcentral lists this transfer RNA (56 nucleotides) under Ascaris lumbricoides (common roundworm). RNAcentral describes it as "tRNA-Gly". RNAcentral also lists the same sequence under 5 other names. The record is from RNAcentral. Lineage: Eukaryota; Metazoa; Nematoda; Chromadorea; Rhabditida; Ascarididae.